AACGAACGCUGGCGGCAUGGCUAAGACAUGCAAGUCGCACGGACCGUAUAGCAAUAUGCGGUUAGUGGCGAAAGGGAGAGUAAUGAAUAGGUAAUGUACCUUGGACACAGGGAUAACGCCGGGGGCAACCCUUUACGAAAGUGGCGCUAAUACCUGGUGAAGUCGGGACGGGGCAUCCCGUUGCGACCAGAGGGCGGGGAUCGUAAGACCUGCCGGUCUGAGAGCAGCCUAUUUCCAUCACCUAGUUGGUGAGGUAACGGCUCACCAAGGGAUCGACGGGUAGCGGGUGUGAGAGCACGAUCGCCUCAUCGGGACUGAGACACUGCCCGGACACCUACGGUGGCUGCAGUAACGAAUAUUGGGCAAUGGGCGCAAGCCUGACCCAG
This 386-nucleotide ribosomal RNA is filed under the name uncultured bacterium. Its description in RNAcentral is "bacterial SSU rRNA". It matches the Rfam family "Bacterial small subunit ribosomal RNA", at positions 29 to 391 of the family's 1533-position model. The record is from RNAcentral.